CAGGGUAUUGUGCAGGCUGGCUCGCUGACACCCUUUGACAGAAGGUCGCCAUCGUUAUGGACACCUGUGUCUCUCCUGCUGCAUAAGGGUGUCUGCUGGGCGAGAAUCCUGCUGCAGGACGGAUAGCAGCUUACACGUUUACGUUAAACUCUGUUUACUGUAAUUGACCUCAGCGCAUGAGCACGUCACGCGUGAUGGUCGACGUAUCGAUCUCGUGAAACGAUGAGAUGAAGAGCAAAACGAGUGCGACUCAUCUGUGAGAAAUCUCCACUGGAGGGAGGCAAACGCAUGUGAAGCUACUCAACCAUCUGCAUGUACAGACUAUCCUCUGCAGUUGCGUCAUCUUAAUGUCCUCCUGCCUCAUGACGUCUGCAAUGUUGAAAUAGAAAUUAUGCAAUCGACAGUGUUUUCUCUGUAUUUACAUUUUAGGGGCAGCAAAGAAAAAUGUCAUACACAUAACACAUCAAAUGUCAAUGUGUUUUAGAAAAUAGUACAUUGAUAGUUGAGCUCAAAGUAUCAUUUUGAGAAAUCAUUAAUUGUUGAAUGAUGUAAUCAAACAAAUUCCAAAUAUUUGCUGGUUUCUGCUACACUGAGGAUUUGUUUUAAUUUUGAAGUGCAUAAUGAGUUUUAUACGAUUUUAAAAAAUUAAACUAGUUGAUAAAUCUGACACAGUAUAAUAAAAAUAAUCCCUUCUUGACAGAUCAAGCUCACACACACAGUGCCAAAUGGUGGUCCUGAUGGUCUUGUUUUUUUGACUGUAUACAUUAUGAUUUAUUUGAAUCACAUAAAAGCGAAUCCCAGCUUGACGCAGUGUUGAAAUGGCGCACCGGCGUUCAGUCAUUGUGUAGUUGUGGGCAGAUCAUGAGAUGGCACAUAAGAGGCUCUUGCAGCAGGUUGCAUCAGUCUUGUAAGAUCAGGCCUGUGCAGCUGUGAAUAGCGCCGCGCCCUCCUCCUCCCACCCCCCAGCAGCAGCUCAGCUCGUGACUAAGAAGGUGAAACCACCUCACAUUUCAGAGCGUGAAGAGACGACUCGGCUCAUAUUUACCAACAGCCAAGGCCGUGUGUCACAUGGUGAGCUCAGGUAUCGGAGCUACAGAUUAGGAUUAGGGGAUUAACGGCACCAAAUCAGACGAAACGCCUUCAACCUUGGGUGAGAGAUAAGGUAGUUCAUGUGGAACUAGAGAUACUGUAGAGCUCAAAGUAACAUUCUCACUUCAGACAGAACGACAAUCAGACAAAUGUGUAGUUCAAAGCGUUUUAUUGCAUUUUUUUUUUUUUUUUGAAAAACAAUACAAAAAUUCUGUAGCAACUGUCAACAAUGUUGCCUUGAGUGAACUGCAAUCACUUGCGUGGUACAGUAAAGUGCUUUUCUUAAAUCAAAAAUAUUUUUGUAUUAAAGGAUGUAUGUAUUUUAAAUUUUUACCCAUGAACACUACGGUCUUGGGGUAACUCAGUGUUAAAAUAUCCACUCAUUCAAAAUAAAGAAUCGAGGACUGAAUCAACCGAAUAACCCCACACCAUAUUUAUGAAAUGAACCACUUAGAAAACAUUGGAUCAAUGUUGCUGGAUUGUAAAUGCUUUUGCCUGUGGGCUACAUUCAAAUGGUGGUGGGGUGGUUGAUGGACAGUCUGUUCGAAUGACAGGAUAGAACACUUCCUUAGACAUACAAUAUAAAAGGCUUAAGGAUACAACUUUAUCCCCCCCCCCCCAUCCCCAAUAAAAGGCAGUCCAAAAAGCUACUGCCAUUUGACAAAAGUAGAAAUGGUCAUGACCAAGAAAACUCUCAUAUCAUUGGGAUAUUACGGAGUAUGGCCAAUAUCUGUGCAUUUGAGUUUCUAACCCUAUCAAAAAAAGGUAAGAACCAACUCGUUUGAUGCGCAAUGGGGAGGAAAAAGGCAGAAUACUGAACUGUAUAGGUAUUUUCUAAACCCAAAGAUUGCCUUGAUCAGCUUAAUGCUGUGAGAUUAGUGGGAGCAAAGUAGUUUCCCAAAUGAAAAAAAAAACAGCUGCAGACACAUUCAAGUAAGUCUUAUUAUAAGACAUAAAACUCCCGUAAUGACGCAUCUGUAGAAUUAUUACAGUGUGUCAUCACCAUCAGCAUAUUAACACCAAGAGAACAAGUUUGAGUACCGGUGCUGCAUUGUGGCAACAGGGCAUGGACAAUCAGAAGUCCCCACUUCCACUGCGCGGUAAAGAUCGCAUGUUCAAUGUCAUGACUGGAACCCUCUUUGGUGACAUUGCUAAAGUGUUGUGAGACGACCUCAUCAUCAGUCUAUUUCCUGGCCAUUAUAGAGUGAGCUUCAACCCCCCCAAAAAA
This is a long non-coding RNA of Gasterosteus aculeatus aculeatus (three-spined stickleback), 2317 nucleotides long. RefSeq lists it as uncharacterized. The record is from RefSeq and is a predicted model, not a curated record. NCBI's taxonomy places the organism in Eukaryota, Metazoa, Chordata, Actinopteri, Perciformes, Gasterosteidae.